This 1855-nucleotide unclassified non-coding RNA is filed under the name Penaeus japonicus. Its description in RNAcentral is "uncharacterized LOC122263123, transcript variant X1". Lineage: Eukaryota; Metazoa; Arthropoda; Malacostraca; Decapoda; Penaeidae. The record is from RNAcentral.
ACACAGCUUAGCUAGGUAGCCGAGCAGACUCUAUCCUAAAAGUAAAUACAUUUUGGUCAUUUUACGGUGAUGAUAUCCAUUUGCAACAAGUUAUUUAGUUUCCUGGAAGUUCUUCUUUGUUAAAAAUGGAGAGGGGACAGAUUAGGGAGCUCGUGACACUGUCCUCCACACCAUCUGAGAGUGUGUGUGUAUGUCUGUAUAGGUAGAUGUGCGAUUUUCCAUGAAAAGUCACUUCAGGAAGUCACUGAAAAACAUAAUCAGUAACCAAUAAGUGGUGACCUCGGUAUCCAAGAAAGAUAUGUGACUCUUAUCGCCUUCCUGCAACCAGUUGUUCGAAAUGACAGAGAUAAUAGUUUCUCCUUAAAAGCCUCAGUGUGUGAGAUCAGGUACUGCGUUGGCGCUGUCUCGAGAGAACCAGAGAGCAGGACGGACGACUUCAGUAAGAACCGGAGAUGUGACGGUUCUCCGACUGCGGAAGAGAUCCUCACCACACAGAAGUGAUACAAGAGGAAGGAGGUUGUGCUGGCGGCGCUGUGUAGAAAAAGGUCGCAUUCCUUUUGCUCAUUGACGAACAGGAGACAAAACAAGCAGAAGAUUGGCACGAAAUUUCUCUCUUGAGUUGGGAAGAAACAGGAGAAAAUCUGUCCCUUUCAAUCCUCAUUGAGGGGAAAGGGCAGAGUAGGACAUCGCAGAUAAGUGCUGAGUGAUGGCCGGCUUCGUCGUGAGGAGUGGGAGUGAGGAAGCCUCUCGGGGUUCCUUUCUGCCGAGGUUCUUGGGCUUCCUGUUGCUGUUCCUGGUCCUCGCUCACAGUGCUACUGCUGGCGUCUUCGGCAGGGGGACAAAAGGCAACGCACAAGAGCCAUAUCUCUUCGGAAGGACCAGCGACGUGACGCAAGAUCGAGGAGUUGUCCUCACUUCUGAUAACAAGAACAAGUUCAAGCAUCACAACGACCCCGCUUACAACAAACACGACAACAACAAAUACGGCAGCAAAAUCCACACCUACAACGACCUCAAGUCCCUCUUCGACGACGAGAACCGGAACACCAUCAAAUUCUAUUCUCAGACACAAUAUUCCAACAUCCGCAUCCCAAUUGGCUUCCUCUUGUUCCUAUUCGUAUCGGCUCUCUACGGAUGCUUGUGGAUGUGCAGCAGGAUAACCACAGUGGUGAAUGAGAGGAGCAAAGUGGUCUUCAGGCACCGAAGGACUCGUGGCGCUGAGGAUGCUCCGGAGGCUCAGGACCGCCAGGCAGACGCCGUACACGUGUGUCCGGAAGCCACUCCCUUGCGUGGGAACUAGAGAGCUGUCCACACCAGGCUUUGUUAUAGUCUGUUACAGGAUUAUUUGAGUGUUGCUUUUAUCGUUCAAGGUGGAUGCUUCUGCAUCAGUCAGUCUGUCUAUGUCUCUCUCUCUCUCUCUCUCUGUGAGUAUGUUUGUAUAUAUUUAUUUGAGUGUGUAUGCGUGUAUGGAUCUUUUUCUCUCUCUCGCUCUCUCGCUCUUGCACUCUCUCUCUCUCUCUCUCUCUCUCUCUCUCUCUCUCUAUCUCUCUCUCUUUCUCUACCAUCAAUAUUUCCCUUCAUUUUCCUUUUACAAACACGGAAAAUAAUCCCCUUUAUCUUUUCAGUCAAGUAGGUCGCUGAUUUGCCCAGUCAUUUGAUCGUCUAUCUGAUAGCAGCUGGUCUGUGACUCAUGUUCCCGAUAAACAUGAGCAUCAACUCAACCCUAGUGCAGUCUCCAGUGCCCACCUCAACUCUACUUCCGGUUCUAACUCCAGCCCCAGCACCGCCCUCGUUGCAACAAGAUAAACAAGAGUCUAACCGCGAAAUAAAGGAACUGCUGCACACACUGCUUAAG